RNAcentral lists this transfer RNA (56 nucleotides) under Helianthus annuus (common sunflower). It matches the Rfam family "tRNA", at positions 10 to 63 of the family's 71-position model. Rfam says of the family: Transfer RNA (tRNA) molecules are approximately 80 nucleotides in length. Their secondary structure includes four short double-helical elements and three loops (D, anti-codon, and T loops). Further hydrogen bonds mediate the characteristic L-shaped molecular structure. tRNAs have two regions of fundamental functional importance: the anti-codon, which is responsible for specific mRNA codon recognition, and the 3' end, to which the tRNAs corresponding amino acid is attached (by aminoacyl-tRNA synthetases). tRNAs cope with the degeneracy of the genetic code in two manners: having more than one tRNA (with a specific anti-codon) for a particular amino acid; and 'wobble' base-pairing, i.e. permitting non-standard base-pairing at the 3rd anti-codon position. Lineage: Eukaryota; Viridiplantae; Streptophyta; Magnoliopsida; Asterales; Asteraceae. The record is from Rfam by way of RNAcentral.
GUUCAGUUGGUAGAGCACGUGGCUUUUAACCACGUGGUCGUGGGUUCGAGUCCCAC